CCACCAUCCAUGGUAAUGGUGAAAGAUACUCCCCCUCCACCACCACCUCCACCUCCACCUCCACCUCUUGCACCGUCCAUGAUCAUGCCAAAUGUAACAUUACCACCCUCAGUUCCAACACCACCUGAGAUGCAGCCAAAUGUAGCACCACCACCACCACCUCUACCUCCUCCUCCACCAUCAGCACCAAAAUUGGAGCAAAAUGCUGCACCAAUUAGGAUGCCUCCACCUCCACCACCACCACCACCAC
Molecule: unclassified non-coding RNA, 250 nt
Filed under: uncultured bacterium
Lineage: Bacteria
Description: contains 16S-23S intergenic spacer region
Source: RNAcentral